This 484-nucleotide ribosomal RNA is filed under the name uncultured bacterium. Its description in RNAcentral is "partial 16S ribosomal RNA". It matches the Rfam family "Bacterial small subunit ribosomal RNA", at positions 30 to 507 of the family's 1533-position model. The record is from RNAcentral.
AUUGAACGCUGGCGGCAGGCCUAACACAUGCAAGUCGAGCGGAUGAAGGGAGCUUGCUCCUGGAUUCAGCGGCGGACGGGUGAGUAAUGCCUAGGAAUCUGCCUGGUAGUGGGGGAUAACGUCCGGAAACGGGCGCUAAUACCGCAUACGUCCUGAGGGAGAAAGUGGGGGAUCUUCGGACCUCACGCUAUCAGAUGAGCCUAGGUCGGAUUAGCUAGUUGGUGGGGUAAAGGCCUACCAAGGCGACGAUCCGUAACUGGUCUGAGAGGAUGAUCAGUCACACGGGAACGGAGACACGGUCCAGACCCCGAGGGGGGCAAGCAGGGGGGAAUAUUGAAGAAGGGGGAAAAGUUGUACCCACCCUGGCGGGGGGUGGGAAAAAGGUUUUCGGAUUUAAAACCUUUUUAAUUGGGGAGGAAGGGUAAUAAUUAAAUACUUUGUUUUUUUAACGUUACCAAAAAAAUAACCCCCGGCAACGUUCGUC